ACUUUCAAAACAGAAUGUUCAUUACCAAGACGUCUGUGUGUUCCAGUAAGGCUGUUUUUAUGAUAAACUACAGGGAGCUGCAAAAUGCUCUGAAGAUGUCUUUAUGCAGAAAGACUGGCCUUGGAAAAAGGUGCUGGAUGUUAAAAGAUGGGAUGUGCUUGAGGAACUGUGACGGUGCUUUCCUGUGGUAUGAGCUGAAACAGAACUAUCAACUCAGGAACUCUGUCAAUUAUGAAAUAUUGCAGUGUGGUUGUGGUGGAUUGAAUCACGUGCCCGUGUCAGAGGAUGAGACAGAGGACAGAUGCCCAUGGGAUACAGGUGGGAAUUUAUCGCCAGCAAGCCACCCCCCAGAAUGCUACAGAUUUCGAGGAAGCCUGAUCCUGCUGACAACUUGAUUUUGGACUUCUAGCCUCUGACACUGUGAGGCAAUAAAUUCUUGUGGUUUAAGCUGACCAGUUUGUGGUAUUUGUCAUAGAAACCCUGACAAACUAAGACAGAAAUUACUUCUUUCCCCAAACCCCAAAGAUGGCAGUAUUCCUUUUUCCAGUUCUGAC
RNAcentral lists this long non-coding RNA (554 nucleotides) under Dasypus novemcinctus (nine-banded armadillo). RNAcentral describes it as "lncRNA (ENSDNOG00000050303.1)". The record is from RNAcentral. Lineage: Eukaryota; Metazoa; Chordata; Mammalia; Cingulata; Dasypodidae.